UACGUAGGGUGCGAGCGUUACUCGGAAUUACUGGGCGUAAAGCCUGCGCAGGCGGCUUCGCAAGUCAGGCGUGAAAUCCCCGGGCUUAACCUGGGAAUGGCGUCUGAAACUACGGAGCUGGAGUGUGGCAGAGGGAGGUAGAAUUCCACGUGUAGCGGCGAAAUGCGUAGAUAUGUGGAGGAAUACCGAUGGCGAAGGCAGCCUCCUGGGCCAACACUGACGCUCAUGCACGAAAGUGUGGGGAGCAAACAGG
This 253-nucleotide ribosomal RNA is filed under the name uncultured bacterium. Its description in RNAcentral is "partial 16S ribosomal RNA". It matches the Rfam family "Bacterial small subunit ribosomal RNA", at positions 524 to 776 of the family's 1533-position model. The record is from RNAcentral.